RNAcentral lists this unclassified non-coding RNA (204 nucleotides) under Hevea brasiliensis (rubber tree). Lineage: Eukaryota; Viridiplantae; Streptophyta; Magnoliopsida; Malpighiales; Euphorbiaceae. The record is from RNAcentral.
AAUUGGCAUCUCCACAUUGAUCCCUUGAAAACGAACUCUCCAAAUCCAGGCACAGGGAAAGGGAAGAAAGAAAAGCAUUACGAGCAGAACCAUCAUAUAUGACUUUUUUUUUUCCAAAAAAUGAUGGUGCCUCAGGAAAAAGUCAUGUUUAAUUAAUCAAACCUAAGUAGAAUGUUAUCUAAUUAUUUAUUAAAGUCACAAAAG